UCAUUUUGGCCUUGAGCAGGGCUGGACUGGGACAAAAAAAUUGGCCCUGGCAUUUUUGGCCCAGGCGGCCCACACCCACCAUGAUUGGUCACACAUUCCCUGCAGACAGUCCUCUUAAAAUAUGCGUGCAUUCUAUGAUAUGAGUUGCCUAGUGUUUUGCGUUCAUGUGAUCAUUUUGGAUCCUUCAAAAGGGGUCC
Sander lucioperca (pikeperch) is the source of this 197-nucleotide long non-coding RNA. RefSeq lists it as uncharacterized. The record is from RefSeq and is a predicted model, not a curated record. The transcript is spliced from 3 exons. NCBI's taxonomy places the organism in Eukaryota, Metazoa, Chordata, Actinopteri, Perciformes, Percidae.